AAAAGUGAAGAAGAGCAUACGGAGGAUGCCUAAGCACUGCAAGUCGAAGAAGGACGCGGCGAACUGCGAAAAUUCCCGGGGAGCUGUAAGCGAGCGGAGAUCCGGGAGUAUCCGAAUGGGGCAACCCGCUAAUCAGGAGGAUUAGCACCCGCGAGGGGGAGGACGGCGUGAACUGAAACAUCUCAGUAGCGUCAGGAAGAGAAAGUAAAUAAACGAUUCUCUGAGUAGUGGCGAACGAAAGGGGAAGAGCCUAAACCGUUCAGAGAUGAGCGGGGUAGAGGGACCGUGAGAGUAGUAUUAUGGACUUAUAGGCGAACCUGUCUGGAAAGGCAGACCGGAGGGGGUGAAAGUCCCGUAGCCGGCAUGAGUUCAUAAGCGAAGCGGGAUCCCGAGUAGCCCGGGGCACGAGGAAUCCUGGGUGAAUCAGCGUGGACCAUCACGUAAGGCUAAAUAGUUGCAGUGACUGACAGCGCAGCAGUACCGUGAGGGAAAGGUGAAAAGGACCCCGGGAGGGGAGUGAAAGAGAACCUGAAACCGUAUGCUUACGAGCGGUCAGAGCCUUGCCUCCAUUAUAGUCAUAAGAGAGGAGUAUUUGUGAUUAUAAUGGAGGUAGGGUGAUGGCGUGCCUUUUGCAUAAUGAGCCGACGAGUUGCUGUCAUCAGCGAGGUUAAGGUUUAGAGGACUGGAGCCGGAGCGAAAGCGAGUAUGAAUAAUGCGGAGAGUUGAUGGUAGCAGACCCGAAACCAGGUGAUCUAUCCAUGUCCAGGCCGAAGUUGGGGUAAAGCCCAAUGGAGGGCCGCACCAACCGGCGUUGAAAAGCCGGUGGAGGAGGUGUGGAUAGGGGUGAAAGGCCAAUCAAACCUGGAGAUAGCUGGUUCUCUCCGAAACAUAUUUAGGUAUGGCCUUGGUUAAGACUGCUGGAGGUAGAGCGCUGGAUGGGCUAGGGGCCUGAGAGGGCUACUGAACCCAACCAAACUACGAAUGGCAGCAGUUGGAUGACCGGGAGACAGGGCGUGAGGGAUAAGCUUCACGUGCGAGAGGGGAACAACCCAGACAGUCAGCUAAGGGCCUUAAUUGGAUGCUAAGUGCGUAAGGAUGUGCAGUUGCACAGACAGCCAGGAUCUUGGCUUAGAAGCAGCCAUGAUUUAAAGAGUGCGUAACAGCUCACUGGUCGAGUGGUCGUGCACCGAAGAUGAGCGGGACUGAAGCAUACACCCGAAGCUGCUGAUCAUAUAGAGAUAUAUGGUGGUAGGAGAGCAUUGUAACGGCGAGGAAGGUGAGUUGUAAGAUGAGCUGGAGCUGUUACAAGAGAGCAUGUUGGCAUGAGUAACGAUAAUGCGGAUGGGAAGUCCGCACACCACAAGCCCGAGGAUUCCUGAGUAAAGAAAAUCUGCUCAGGGUUAGUCGGACCCUAAGGUGAGGCCGAGAGGCGUAGCUGAUGGGAGUCAGGUUAAUAAUCCUGAACCUGUUGAUAAGAGCGAUGGAGUGACGCAUCAGUGCGACGGGGACAGCUGUUGGAAUAGCUGUUGAAUGCAUGUAGGAUGAGGGGCAGGCAAAACCGUCCCUCGAGCAGUCCGAGGAGCAGGACGAGGCCGUAAGGCCGAAAGCCCGUUUAGAGAUGAUGCCGAGAAAUAGCUUCUAAGCGUUGGAUUUAUUGACAGACCGUACCGGAAACCGACACAGGUGGGCGAGGAGAGUAUCCUGCGGUGUUCGAGCGAACUCUGGUUAAGGAACUAGGCAAACUAACCCCGUAACUUAGGGAGAAGGGGUACCCCGUUAUUGUGAACGAGGACAUCGGGAGCGAGAGGGGGUCGCAGUGAAGAGGCCCAAGCGACUGUUUAUCAAAAACACAGGUCUGUGCGAAGGCGUAAGCCGCGGUAUACAGACUGACACCUGCCCGGUGCCGGAAGGUUAAAUGGAGAGGUUAGCCGCGAGGCGAAGCUUUGAAAUGAAGCCCCGGUAAACGGCGGCCGUAACUAUAACGGUCCUAAGGUAGCGAAAUUCCUUGUCGGGUAAGUUCCGACCUGCACGAAUGGUGUAACGACUUGGGCGCUGUCUCAACCAGGGGCUCGGUGAAAUUGAAGUAGCGGUGAAGAUGCCGCUUACCCGCGAACGGACGGAAAGACCCCGUGAACCUUUACUGCAACCUGGUCUUGUGGAUCGGGUCAGUAUGUGUAGGAUAGGUGGGAGGCUGAGAGUUCGGCACGCCAGUGUCGGAGGAGCCGAUGUUGAAAUACCACCCUUAUUGUCUUGGUUUGCUAACGUGCAUAAGUCAAGUGCACGGACAUGGUCAGGCGGGCAGUUUGACUGGGGCGGUCGCCUCCGAAAGAGUAACGGAGGCUUACCAAGGUUCCCUCAGGCUGGUUGGUAAUCAGCCAAAGAGCGCAAAGGUAUAAGGGAGCUUAACUGCGAGACUGACGGGUCGAGCAGGUGGGAAACCAGGUCUUAGUGAUCCGGCGGUUCUGAAUGGAAGGGCCGUUGCUCAAAGGAUAAAAGGUACUCCGGGGAUAACAGGCUGAUACCGCCCAAGAGUUCA
This 2536-nucleotide ribosomal RNA is filed under the name activated sludge metagenome. RNAcentral's name for it is "bacterial LSU rRNA". It matches the Rfam family "Bacterial large subunit ribosomal RNA", at positions 1 to 2502 of the family's 2925-position model. The record is from RNAcentral.